Molecule: long non-coding RNA, 1273 nt
Filed under: Mus musculus (house mouse)
Lineage: Eukaryota; Metazoa; Chordata; Mammalia; Rodentia; Muridae
Description: small nucleolar RNA host gene 5
Rfam family: Small nucleolar RNA SNORD50 (bases 725-796)
Source: RNAcentral
GUUCUUUUACGACGGAGCCUAAGAUAUUCUUUGUCUUGUCGGUACUAGAGUCACCGAAAGAGACAUCCUAUUAUAUGCACGUUCACAAGGACAAUGGCGCCAUUGUUCUUCGCGUCUUCAAAGCAGCUACAAGAAGAAACCAAGAUGGAGGGGAGCCCAAAGCAUCUGAGAGAAUUGAUAAAUGAAAGAAACAUGCUUAAAACAUGACCGUUUUAAAGGGUGUGUAUUGAAGCCUAGAUUUUUUCCCUUGUAAGCAUGCAAACAUACCGUUGUGAAGUAAGAAUCCGGGUUCCUGGAAAUGUAUUGUGAAGUAGUCCUGGCCAAACUACUCUGGCCUUUGCAAUUUGGAGUGACUGUUGUGAAUGCAUGGUGUACAAAUUGAUUGUACAAACAGUUGUGAGACAUACCGGGUCAGAACAGUGAUGAAAUACAUCCCGAAGAUGAUGACCUGAAGAUAAAUGCAGCUUCUGAGAGAAGACCAUUGUGUUUAAGUGGUAGUCUUGUUAAUGCAGUUCUUACUCAUAGCAUGUCAUGGUACCUCUUUCUGUAGUGAAUGCUGACCAGUGAGAUGCCAGCCUGCGUGUGAAGAUCCUACAGCAGAAGUGCAUGGCCAGUGACACAAGAACUUGCGAGAGAUGCCAGUCCGCCUGUGAAGAUCCUGCAGCAGGAGUGCAUGUGAGUGGUGCUCUGUUUUGUUUUCUGCUGAGCUUACUGUCGUUGGUCUAGUCUAUGAUGAUCCUAUCCCGAACCUGAAUUCCUGUUGAAAAACCAUACUUACGGAUCUGGCUUCUGAGAUGGACCAUUGCAAAGGACUAUUGUGUUCUUCUUUAAUGUUGGCAGUAACAUAAUGCCUGUGUUCUUAUUUUUAUAUUUUAGAGCCAGUGACACAAGACGUGCGAAUGAAAACUAGAUGUGACCAUCCAGAAAAAGCAUAGACAAAAAAAUGCAGUCUUAGUACUGGGAUGUUUGAGAUGGGGUCUAUCUACAUGUCUCUAGCUGUCCCUAUCAGGACAGCAUCUGGUGUGGCCUGCAGAGUUGAUUCCUGUACUUUUUUUUUUUUGUGGGCUGUAUGUAAAUGGAUUGUUUUGACAAUCCAUUCGACAGUGUUCUCUUCUGUGAAGGUCAUAGGUGAGCUGAUUGACAGACACAGCUGUACAGACUGAAUGCAAUCCUGACUAUAAAGCUGCAGUUCAUCAUUAUGAGCUAUUUCCUUAUUCUGGCAGUGAUUGAAAUAAAAUGGGGAGUAUUGAAAUAAAAAACAUUCAAUUGCAAA